CCUACGGGUGGCUGCAGUGGGGAAUAUUGCGCAAUGGGCGAAAGCCUGACGCAGCGACGCCGCGUGAGGGAUGAAGGUCCUACGGAUUGUAAACCUCUUUUGCCGGGGAGCAAGCGUGCGUUCGUGAACGCGCGUCGAGAGUACCCGGAGAAAAAGCAUCGGCUAACUCCGUGCCAGCAGCCGCGGUAAUACGGAGGAUGUGAGCGUUAUCCGGAUUUAUUGGGUUUAAAGGGUGCGUAGGCGGGAUGCCAAGUCAGCGGUAAAAAUGCGGUGCUCAACGCCGUCGAGCCGUUGAAACUGGCGUUCUUGAGUGGGCGAGAAGUAUGCGGAAUGCGUGGUGUAGCGGUGAAAUGCAUAGAUAUCACGCAGAACUCCGAUUGCGAAGGCAGCAUACCGGCGCCCUACUGACGCUGAGGCACGAAAGCGUGGGUAUCGAACAGGAUUAGAUACCCUGGUAGUC
RNAcentral lists this ribosomal RNA (460 nucleotides) under uncultured bacterium. RNAcentral's name for it is "partial 16S ribosomal RNA". It matches the Rfam family "Bacterial small subunit ribosomal RNA", at positions 338 to 795 of the family's 1533-position model. The record is from RNAcentral.